RNAcentral lists this ribosomal RNA (104 nucleotides) under Carlito syrichta (Philippine tarsier). Lineage: Eukaryota; Metazoa; Chordata; Mammalia; Primates; Tarsiidae. The record is from RNAcentral.
CAGUCUUACCACUCUGAACAUGUCUGAUCUCUUCUGAUCUUGGAAGCUAAGCAGGCUUAGUACUUGGAUACUGGGAGGCAUGGGAGGCAUAUAAUAAUUACUGC